RNAcentral lists this long non-coding RNA (319 nucleotides) under Chinchilla lanigera (long-tailed chinchilla). Its description in RNAcentral is "lncRNA (ENSCLAG00000024239.1)". The record is from RNAcentral. Lineage: Eukaryota; Metazoa; Chordata; Mammalia; Rodentia; Chinchillidae.
GAGGCAGGGCAGCUCCUACCGUCCCUGCGGCAUGCAAGGUGUUGUCAGCUCCAGGUCUCUAUGUGACCUUGGGCAGGGACAGCGGGAUGUGGAAGUCGCAAAGCAGCACACUCUGGCAUUCCCAUGAAGCAAAAGACAGGCAACCCCGAGCAGAGGAGCCCUUAUGGACUCUCUGGAAAAGAAAAGAACUUAGAAUCCAGAAAUUCUACUUGAGCUCAGACUUUCAAUCAAAGGCUCAGGCUGAACUGAAUCAGCGUGGUGCUGGUUGUGGGAGGCCCACCUGAGGAUUGUUGCGAACAGCAUAAAAGGAGAACUGGCG